UGCAUGGCCAUUCUUAGUUGGUGGAGUAAUUUGUCUGUUUAAUUCCGAUAACAAACGAGACUCUGGCAUGCUAACUAGUUACACGACCCCCGAGCAGUCAGCAUCCCCCAACUUCUUAGAGGGACAGGUGGCAUUCAGCCACCUGAGAUUGAGCAAUAACAGGUCUGUGAUG
Ribosomal RNA from Nomascus leucogenys (northern white-cheeked gibbon), 172 nucleotides. It matches the Rfam family "Eukaryotic small subunit ribosomal RNA", at positions 1281 to 1469 of the family's 1831-position model. The record is from Rfam. NCBI's taxonomy places the organism in Eukaryota, Metazoa, Chordata, Mammalia, Primates, Hylobatidae.